This 492-nucleotide ribosomal RNA is filed under the name uncultured bacterium. Its description in RNAcentral is "partial 16S ribosomal RNA". It matches the Rfam family "Bacterial small subunit ribosomal RNA", at positions 29 to 507 of the family's 1533-position model. The record is from RNAcentral.
AGUGAACGCUGGCGGUAGGCCUAACACAUGCAAGUCGAACGGCAGCACAGUAAGAGCUUGCUCUUACGGGUGGCGAGUGGCGGACGGGUGAGGAAUACAUCGGAAUCUACUUUUUCGUGGGGGAUAACAUAGGGAAACUUACGCUAAUACCGCAUACGACCUACGGGUGAAAGCAGGGGAGCUUCGGACCUUGCGCGAUUGAAUGAGCCGAUGUCGGAUUAGCUAGUUGGCGGGGUAAAGGCCCACCAAGGCGACGAUCCGUAGCUGGUCUGAGAGGAUGAUCAGCCACACUGGAACUGAGACACGGUCCAGACUCCUACGGGAGGCAGCAGUGGGGAAUAUUGGACAAUGGGCGCAAGCCUGAUCCAGCCAUACCGCGUGGGUGAAGAAGGCCUUCGGGUUGUAAAGCCCUUUUGUUGGGAAAGAAAAGCAGCAGGUUAAUACCCCGCUGUUCUGACGGUACCCAAAGAAUAAGCACCGGCUAACUUCGUG